RNAcentral lists this ribosomal RNA (497 nucleotides) under uncultured bacterium. RNAcentral's name for it is "partial 16S ribosomal RNA". It matches the Rfam family "Bacterial small subunit ribosomal RNA", at positions 28 to 507 of the family's 1533-position model. The record is from RNAcentral.
GAUGAACGCUGGCGGCGUGCCUAAUACAUGCAAGUCGAGCGAAAAGAUGAGGAGCUUGCUCCUCUGACGUUAGCGGCGGACGGGUGAGUAACACGUGGAUAACCUACCUAUAAGACUGGGAUCACUUCGGGAAACCGGAGCUAAUACCGGAUAAUAUAUUGAACCGCAUGGUUCAAUAGUGAAAGACGGUUUUGCUGUCACUUAUCGAUGGAUCCGCGCCGCAUUAGCUAGUUGGUAAGGUAACGGCUUACCAAGGCAACGAUGCGUAGCCGACCUGAGAGGGGGAUCGGCCACACUGGAACUGAGACACGGUCCAUACUCCUACGGGAGGCAGCAGUAGGGAAUCUUCCGCAAUGGGCGAAAGCCUGACGGAGCAACGCCGCGUGAGUGAUGAAGGUCUUCGGAUCGUAAAACUCUGUUAUUAGGGAAGAACAAAUGUGUAAGUAACUAUGCACGUCUUGACGGUACCUAAUCAGAAAGCCACGGCUAACUACGUG